This 89-nucleotide transfer RNA is filed under the name Clostridium neonatale. RNAcentral's name for it is "tRNA-Ser". It matches the Rfam family "tRNA". Rfam says of the family: Transfer RNA (tRNA) molecules are approximately 80 nucleotides in length. Their secondary structure includes four short double-helical elements and three loops (D, anti-codon, and T loops). The record is from RNAcentral. Lineage: Bacteria; Bacillati; Bacillota; Clostridia; Eubacteriales; Clostridiaceae.
GGAGAGAUGUCCGAGUGGUCGAAGGAGCACGCCUGGAAAGCGUGUAUAGGGGCAACUCUAUCAGGGGUUCAAAUCCCUUCUCUCCGCCA